UACGGAGGGUGCGAGCGUUGUCCGGAAUCACUGGGCGUAAAGGGCGCGUAGGCGGCUUGGGAAGUCUGUGGUGAAAGCUCGUGGCUCAACUGCGAGUCGGCCAUAGAUACUCCUAAGCUCGAGUCGACUAGAGGCAGAUGGAAUUCCGGGUGUAGCGGUGGAAUGCGUAGAGAUCCGGAAGAACACCGGUGGCGAAGGCGGCAUCCUGGACCGGUAUUGACGCUGAGGCGCGAAAGCUAGGGGAGCAAACGGG
Molecule: ribosomal RNA, 253 nt
Filed under: uncultured bacterium
Lineage: Bacteria
Description: partial 16S ribosomal RNA
Rfam family: Bacterial small subunit ribosomal RNA
Source: RNAcentral